RNAcentral lists this ribosomal RNA (505 nucleotides) under uncultured bacterium. RNAcentral describes it as "bacterial SSU rRNA". It matches the Rfam family "Bacterial small subunit ribosomal RNA", at positions 24 to 518 of the family's 1533-position model. The record is from RNAcentral.
UCAGGAUGAACGCUAGCUACAGGCUUAACACAUGCAAGUCGAGGGGCAGCAUGGGAUUAGCUUGCUAAUCCUGAUGGCGACCGGCGCACGGGUGAGUAACGCGUAUCCAACCUUCCCCUUACUCAGGGAUAGCCCGGUGAAAACCGGAUUAACUCCUGAUAGUUUCACUAGAUGGCAUCUGACGGUGAAUAAAGCUUUGCGGUAAGGGAUGGGGAUGCGUCUGAUUAGCUUGUUGGCGGGGUAACGGCCCACCAAGGCAACGAUCAGUAGGGGUUCUGAGAGGAAGGUCCCCCACAUUGGAACUGAGACACGGUCCAAACUCCUACGGGAGGCAGCAGUGAGGAAUAUUGGUCAAUGGGCGAGAGCCUGAACCAGCCAAGUAGCCGUGCAGGAUGACGGCCCUAUGGGUUGUAAACUGCUUUUGUACGGGAAUAAAGUGACCUACGUGUAGGUUUUUGCAUGUACCGUAAGAAUAAGGACCGGCUAAUUCCGUGCCAGCAGCCGC